UGGUAUUGAUUGGUGCUUGCAUCAUGAUUUACAUUUGAGUGAGUGGCGAACUGGUGAGUAACACGUGGGAAACCUGCCCAGAAGCGGGGGAUAACACCUGGAAACAGAUGCUAAUACCGCAUAACAACUUGGACCGCAUGGUCCGAGUUUGAAAGAUGGCUUCGGCUAUCACUUUUGGAUGGUCCCGCGGCGUAUUAGCUAGAUGGUGGGGUAACGGCUCACCAUGGCAAUGAUACGUAGCCGACCUGAGAGGGUAAUCGGCCACAUUGGGACUGAGACACGGCCCAAACUCCUACGGGAGGCAGCAGUAGGGAAUCUUCCACAAUGGACGAAAGUCUGAUGGAGCAACGCCGCGUGAGUGAAGAAGGGUUUCGGCUCGUAAAACUCUGUUGUUAAAGAAGAACAUAUCUGAGAGUAACUGUUCAGGUAUUGACGGUAUUUAACCAGAAAGCCACGGCUAACUACGUGCCAGCAGCCGCGGUAAUACGUAGGUGGCAAGCGUUGUCCGGAUUUAUUGGGCGUAAAGCGAGCGCAGGCGGUUUUUUAAGUCUGAUGUGAAAGCCUUCGGCUCAACCGAAGAAGUGCAUCGGAAACUGGGAAACUUGAGUGCAGAAGAGGACAGUGGAACUCCAUGUGUAGCGGUGAAAUGCGUAGAUAUAUGGAAGAACACCAGUGGCGAAGGCGGCUGUCUGGUCUGUAACUGACGCUGAGGCUCGAAAGUAUGGGUAGCAAACAGGAUUAGAUACCCUGGUAGUCCAUACCGUAAACGAUGAAUGCUAAGUGUUGGAGGGUUUCCGCCCUUCAGUGCUGCAGCUAACGCAUUAAGCAUUCCGCCUGGGGAGUACGGCCGCAAGGCUGAAACUCAAAGGAAUUGACGGGGGCCCGCACAAGCGGUGGAGCAUGUGGUUUAAUUCGAAGCUACGCGAAGAACCUUACCAGGUCUUGACAUACUAUGCAAAUCUAAGAGAUUAGACGUUCCCUUCGGGGACAUGGAUACAGGUGGUGCAUGGUUGUCGUCAGCUCGUGUCGUGAGAUGUUGGGUUAAGUCCCGCAACGAGCGCAACCCUUAUUAUCAGUUGCCAGCAUUAAGUUGGGCACUCUGGUGAGACUGCCGGUGACAAACCGGAGGAAGGUGGGGAUGACGUCAAAUCAUCAUGCCCCUUAUGACCUGGGCUACACACGUGCUACAAUGGAUGGUACAACGAGUUGCGAACUCGCGAGAGUAAGCUAAUCUCUUAAAGCCAUUCUCAGUUCGGAUUGUAGGCUGCAACUCGCCUACAUGAAGUCGGAAUCGCUAGUAAUCGCGGAUCAGCAUGCCGCGGUGAAUACGUUCCCGGGCCUUGUACACACCGCCCGUCACACCAUGAGAGUUUGUAACACCCAAAGUCGGUGGGGUAACCUUUUAGGAACCAGCC
Molecule: ribosomal RNA, 1415 nt
Filed under: Lactiplantibacillus pentosus
Lineage: Bacteria; Bacillati; Bacillota; Bacilli; Lactobacillales; Lactobacillaceae
Description: bacterial SSU rRNA
Rfam family: Bacterial small subunit ribosomal RNA
Source: RNAcentral